GCGAAGUUCGGGCCGGCAGCCUGGGGAAGACGAACCGUGCAAACGUGGUGCGGAAUCACUGGGCUUAAAGGGCGCGUAGGCGGCUUGCCAAGUCAGGGGUGAAAUCGUGCGGCUCAACCGGAAAAGUGCCCUUGAUUCUGGCGAGCUCGAGGGAGGUAGGGGUAUGUGGAACUGAUGGUGGAGCGGUGAAAUGCGUUGAUAUCAUCAGGAACGCCGGUGGCGAAAGCGACGUACUGGACCUCUUCUGACGCUGAGGCGCGAAAGCUAGGGGAGCAAACGGGAUUAGAUACCCCUGUAGUC
RNAcentral lists this ribosomal RNA (300 nucleotides) under uncultured Pyrococcus sp. Its description in RNAcentral is "partial 16S ribosomal RNA". It matches the Rfam family "Bacterial small subunit ribosomal RNA", at positions 496 to 795 of the family's 1533-position model. Lineage: Archaea; Methanobacteriati; Methanobacteriota; Thermococci; Thermococcales; Thermococcaceae. The record is from RNAcentral.